This 479-nucleotide ribosomal RNA is filed under the name uncultured bacterium. Its description in RNAcentral is "bacterial SSU rRNA". It matches the Rfam family "Bacterial small subunit ribosomal RNA", at positions 29 to 507 of the family's 1533-position model. The record is from RNAcentral.
AAUCAACGCUGGCGGCGUGCCUAACACAUGCAAGUCGAACGAGAAAGUGGGGGCAACCCUGCGAGUACAGUGGCAGACGGGUGAGUAACACGUGAACAACCUACCCUUGAGUGGGGAAUAACACCGCGAAAGCGGAGCUAAUACCGCAUAACAUCUUGAGCUCGCAUGGGCGAGAGAUCAAAGCCGAAAGGCGCUUGAGGAGGGGUUCGCGGCUGAUUAGCUAGUUGGUGAGGUAACGGCUCACCAAGGCGACGAAUCAGUAGCCGGCCUGAGAGGGCGAACGGCCACACUGGAACUGAGACACGGUCCAGACUCCUACGGGAGGCAGCAGUGGGGAAUUUUGCGCAAUGGGCGAAAGCCUGACGCAGCAACGCCGCGUGGAGGAUGAAGGCCUUCGGGUCGUAAACGUCCUGUCGACGGGGAAGGAAAGCCGAAAGGUUUGACGUGUACCCGUUGAGGAAGCCACGGCUAACUCCGUG